RNAcentral lists this transfer RNA (71 nucleotides) under Candidatus Kerfeldbacteria bacterium. Its description in RNAcentral is "tRNA-Trp". It matches the Rfam family "tRNA". From Rfam's summary of the family: Transfer RNA (tRNA) molecules are approximately 80 nucleotides in length. Their secondary structure includes four short double-helical elements and three loops (D, anti-codon, and T loops). Further hydrogen bonds mediate the characteristic L-shaped molecular structure. tRNAs have two regions of fundamental functional importance: the anti-codon, which is responsible for specific mRNA codon recognition, and the 3' end, to which the tRNAs corresponding amino acid is attached (by aminoacyl-tRNA synthetases). tRNAs cope with the degeneracy of the genetic code in two manners: having more than one tRNA (with a specific anti-codon) for a particular amino acid; and 'wobble' base-pairing, i.e. permitting non-standard base-pairing at the 3rd anti-codon position. Lineage: Bacteria; Candidatus Kerfeldiibacteriota. The record is from RNAcentral.
AGGGGUGUCGGUUAACGGUAAACCACUCGCCUCCAGAGCGAAGACUGUCGGUUCGAUUCCGACCACCCCUG